GCGGGCGUGGCGAAACUGGCACACGCGCCAGCCUUAGGAGCUGGUGAGCUUACGCUCUUGGGGGUUCAAAUCCCUCCGCCCGCA
RNAcentral lists this transfer RNA (84 nucleotides) under Candidatus Omnitrophota bacterium. Its description in RNAcentral is "Candidatus Omnitrophica bacterium (aquatic metagenome) tRNA-Leu". It matches the Rfam family "tRNA". From Rfam's summary of the family: Transfer RNA (tRNA) molecules are approximately 80 nucleotides in length. Their secondary structure includes four short double-helical elements and three loops (D, anti-codon, and T loops). Further hydrogen bonds mediate the characteristic L-shaped molecular structure. tRNAs have two regions of fundamental functional importance: the anti-codon, which is responsible for specific mRNA codon recognition, and the 3' end, to which the tRNAs corresponding amino acid is attached (by aminoacyl-tRNA synthetases). tRNAs cope with the degeneracy of the genetic code in two manners: having more than one tRNA (with a specific anti-codon) for a particular amino acid; and 'wobble' base-pairing, i.e. permitting non-standard base-pairing at the 3rd anti-codon position. Lineage: Bacteria; Pseudomonadati; Candidatus Omnitrophota. The record is from RNAcentral.